Molecule: ribosomal RNA, 460 nt
Filed under: uncultured Anaerolineaceae bacterium
Lineage: Bacteria; Bacillati; Chloroflexota; Anaerolineae; Anaerolineales; Anaerolineaceae
Description: bacterial SSU rRNA
Rfam family: Bacterial small subunit ribosomal RNA
Source: RNAcentral
GCGGUGGAGCAUGUGGCUUAAUUCGAGGCUACGCGAAGAACCUUAUCCUAGACUUGACAUGUGCGAAAGCGUCUGCAGGUAGAACCCGGAAACGGGAACGAACGGUAUCCAAUCCGGAAGCAGAUACAGGUGCUGCAUGGCUGUCGUCAGCUCGUGUCGUGAGAUGUUCGGUUAAGUCCGCUAACGAGCGCAACCCUCGCUGUAUGUUACAUGUGUCAUACAGGACCGCCGGUAUCAAGCCGGAGGAAGGUGGGGAUGACGUCAAGUCCGCAUGGCCUUUAUGUCCGGGGCUACACACACGCUACAAUGGUCGGUACAAUGGGUUGCUAAGCCGCGAGGUGGAGCCAAUCCCCCAAAGCCGGCCUCAGUUCAGAUUGCAGGCUGCAACUCGCCUGCAUGAAGCUGGAGUUGCUAGUAAACGCGCGUCAGCUAUAGUGCGUUGAAUACGUUCUCGGGCCUU